Ictidomys tridecemlineatus (thirteen-lined ground squirrel) is the source of this 487-nucleotide non-coding RNA. The record is from RefSeq and is a predicted model, not a curated record. NCBI's taxonomy places the organism in Eukaryota, Metazoa, Chordata, Mammalia, Rodentia, Sciuridae.
AAUUUUGCAACAAGAUCACCAGGGACAAUAAUGAGUAGUUCCAUUUCAAUUUCUAGACUUCAUUUCUGGUCUUGUGAAUCUUAGCUAUGGGGAAAAAAUGUACCACACAUCAGAUGCUGAGUUAGAGGAUGUAAAGCCUUCUGCUCCAAUCCUACAAGCAAAAGAAUUCAUUUCCCUGAUGCCUAAACAAUUUGUGGGUGGUAUUGAAGACUUCUGGUAAAAGAUCUUGAUCACUCCAGAACUUGAUGAAGAGAUGUUGGAAACUGCAUACUUUGGGGCAAAGAUGCAUAUGUUAUUACCAACUAUGAAAAGUCCUUAAACAUCAGUCUUCUUUACCAGAGAAAUCAUAAAAUAAAGUUAACAGUUCCACCUGUGAAGUUAUAUGGAUUCUACUUCUCACUAGCUGACAUUAGGUUAUUUAACUACAAGGACAGCAAUACUUGUCUCAAAGAAUUCUUGUUAAUAUUAAACAAGACAUUUAUGUGAA